GUAGAUGCUCAUUCCACUUCUUAUGUUUGCUUAGGCUUCAUAAACCCAGGAAUGACGCAGAGCCGAUUACGGUGCUUAUCGUCCACCGACAGAUGUCGUCUUUCAGACCUCAUCCAACACCAUGGACACAACGUUGAGUGAAGCACCACUUAGUUGUCAUACAGACCUGUUUUAACACCUGCCUAUUGGCAGGUGUUUUUUU
Buttiauxella agrestis ATCC 33320 is the source of this 202-nucleotide small RNA. It matches the Rfam family "GlmZ RNA activator of glmS mRNA". From Rfam's summary of the family: This RNA was discovered in E. coli during a large scale screen. The record is from Rfam. Lineage: Bacteria; Pseudomonadati; Pseudomonadota; Gammaproteobacteria; Enterobacterales; Enterobacteriaceae.